AGCACCACAACAGGUGGAGCCUGCGGUUUAAUCGGACUCAACGCCGGGAAACUCACCAGAUAAGACAGCUGAAUGAUAGUCGGGCUGAAGACUCUACUUGACUAGCUGAGAGGAGGUGCAUGGCCGUCGUCAGUUCGUACUGUGAAGCAUCCUGUUAAGUCAGGCAACGAGCGAGACCCACGCCAACAGUUGCCAGCUCGUCCUCCGGGAUGGUGGGGACACUGUUGGGACCGCCUCUGCUAAAGAGGAGGAAGGAAUGGGCAACGGUAGGUCAGCAUGCCCCGAAUUAUCUGGGCUACACGCGGGCUACAAUGGGUGGGACAAUGGGUAUCGACACCGAAAGGUGAAGGCAAUCUCCUAAACCCAUCCGUAGUCCGGAUUGUGGGCUGCAACUCGCCCACAUGAAGCUGGAAUCUGUAGUAAUCGUGUCUCAAAAUGGCACGGUGAAUAUGUCCCUGCUCCUU
RNAcentral lists this ribosomal RNA (464 nucleotides) under uncultured Methanomicrobiales archaeon. Its description in RNAcentral is "bacterial SSU rRNA". It matches the Rfam family "Archaeal small subunit ribosomal RNA", at positions 875 to 1338 of the family's 1478-position model. Lineage: Archaea; Methanobacteriati; Methanobacteriota; Methanomicrobia; Methanomicrobiales. The record is from RNAcentral.